This 25-nucleotide ribosomal RNA is filed under the name Artemisia annua (sweet wormwood). Its description in RNAcentral is "5.8S ribosomal RNA". RNAcentral also lists the same sequence under 27 other names. The record is from RNAcentral. Lineage: Eukaryota; Viridiplantae; Streptophyta; Magnoliopsida; Asterales; Asteraceae.
GAGGGCACGUCUGCCUGGGCGUCAC